CCACAACCGCGCAUGCGCUCAUCGGUGCAGUCGCCUCAGCAGCACAUCCUGCAGCAUGACUUCUUUAGUCGAGGAAACUGAGGUAAAACUGAGGAAAACAAACGAUUAUCUGCUGAAAUUAAAGUGAACUGGAGUCGACAGUGAUCAGACUAAGUAACAAAGUUACGGUUUAACUAAAAAAAAAAAAUACAAAAUAAGACAUUAAUCAUAAAGAGCUGCUGUGAGACUGACUGAACAGAUUCAACAAGACAUCAACAAUCAGGUGAUGGUUUCAGAGGUCAGAUAUCUUCAUCAGUUUGUGUCUGUAGUCUCUAUCAACAUCUCUUAUAAAGAUGCAGAACACCGAAAUUGCCGCUACAAUAAUCAGAUAUCCAGCAGCAGCCCCAGAGAUAUAAUCUAAGAACAGGUCCAAUGUUUACACUUUAUUUUACAGUAUCACCAUUAAACAUGUUACAUGUACUUACUAUAGUAAUAACAGUAAAUUAGGUAUAAUUACAUGCAAAUAACCUUGAAUCAAACACUAAACUUAAAGUAAGUAUA
Molecule: non-coding RNA, 540 nt
Organism: Misgurnus anguillicaudatus (oriental weatherfish)
Lineage: Eukaryota; Metazoa; Chordata; Actinopteri; Cypriniformes; Cobitidae
Source: RefSeq, a predicted model, not a curated record